This 253-nucleotide ribosomal RNA is filed under the name uncultured bacterium. RNAcentral's name for it is "partial 16S ribosomal RNA". It matches the Rfam family "Bacterial small subunit ribosomal RNA", at positions 524 to 776 of the family's 1533-position model. The record is from RNAcentral.
UACGUAGGGGGCAAGCGUUGUCCGGAAUUAUUGGGCGUAAAGCGCGUGUAGGCGGCCAGAUAAGUCCGCUGUGAAAUCUCGAGGCUCAACUUCGAGCUGUCGGUGGAAACUGUCUGGCUAGAGUCCGGAAGAGGAGAAUGGAAUUCCUGGUGUAGCGGUGAAAUGCGCAGAUAUCAGGAAGAACACCCGUGGCGAAGGCGGUUCUCUGGGCCGAUACUGACGCUGAGGAGCGAAAGCGUGGGGAGCGAACAGG